GGAGGCAGCAGUAGGGAAUAUUGGACAAUGGGCGCAAGCCUGAUCCAGCCAUGCCGCGUGCAGGAAGAUGGUCCUAUGGAUUGUAAACUGCUUUUAUACAGAAAAAAAACAACUCUACGUGUAGAGUCUUGACGGUACUGUAGGAAUAAGGAUCGGCUAACUCCGUGCCAGCAGCCGCGGUAAGACGAGGGAUCCUAGC
This 199-nucleotide ribosomal RNA is filed under the name uncultured bacterium. RNAcentral's name for it is "partial 16S ribosomal RNA". It matches the Rfam family "Bacterial small subunit ribosomal RNA", at positions 344 to 539 of the family's 1533-position model. The record is from RNAcentral.